Molecule: ribosomal RNA, 763 nt
Filed under: Braconinae sp. 'Protadesha intermedia'
Lineage: Eukaryota; Metazoa; Arthropoda; Insecta; Hymenoptera; Braconidae
Description: partial 28S ribosomal RNA
Rfam family: Eukaryotic large subunit ribosomal RNA
Source: RNAcentral
AAAGUUGAAAAGAACUUUGAAGAGAGAGUUCAAGAGUACGUGAAACCGUUCAGGGGUAAACCUGAGAAACCCAAAAGAUCGAAUGGGGAGACUCAUCGUCAGCUCAUUUUGUAUAUAUAUAAGUUAUGAUAUAGGUUACUACUUUAUUGUAGUAUUGCUUGUACAUUCUUGUAUAUUUAUUUGCAAAAUGUUGUCGACGUGCACUUCUCCCCUAGUAGAACGUCGCGACCCGUUGAAUGUCAAUCUACGGCCCAAGUGAUUUAGAUUUUAAUAAAUAAAUUUUAUUUAUUAAAAACACUUGGUGUUAAAUUAUAAACCUGAUUGUCAUUUGUCGGUAUACAUAUGGUAUUGAGCCGCAAUAAUUAAUAAUAUGCGUCUAUAUCCAUCACAAGCAAGGUUAAUUUACUAAUAGUUACGGACUUUGUGCCGUCAUUGGUAUUAAUCAGCUGUUAGUUGUAUGGAUUUCUAAGACUGGCUUAAAAAUAAUAAAUAAUACCUGUCAGCGAUGCUACUGCUUUGGGUACUUUCAGGACCCGUCUUGAAACACGGACCAAGGAGUCUAACAUGUACGCAAGUCAUUGGGAUUUUUUAAUAAACUAAACCUAAAGGCGUAAUGAAAGUAAAGAUUAACCUUGUGUUAAUUAAGGGAGGAUAAACUAUGUUCAUAUAAAUUUUUUUUAUAAAAAUUUAUUAUAUAUAGUUUCGCACUCCCGGGGCGUCUCAUUCUCAUUAUGAGAAGAGGCGCACCUAGAGCGUACACGUU